Molecule: long non-coding RNA, 827 nt
Filed under: Homo sapiens (human)
Lineage: Eukaryota; Metazoa; Chordata; Mammalia; Primates; Hominidae
Description: HSALNT0075452
Source: RNAcentral
CAUGAAUCAUGUGACGGUGGCUUGAGGAGGAACCUGUCUUUAAAGCUGUCCCUGAAGUGACAGCGGAGAGAACCAGGCAGCCCAGAAACCCCAGGACCUAAAGCGAUUCUUGUAUAAAAAGUUACCAAGUGUUGAAGGGCUCCAUGCCAUUGUUGUGUCAGAUAGAGAUGGAGUACCUGUUAUUAAAGGUGGUUCAAUUUAAUCGUUUACCUUUGGUGGUGAGUUUCAUAGCCAGCAGCAGUGCCAAUACAGGACUAAUUGUCAGCCUAGAAAAGGAACUUGCUCCAUUGUUUGAAGAACUGAGACAAGUUGUGGAAGUUUCUUAAUCUGACAGUGGUUUCAGUGUGUACCUUAUCUUCAUUAUAACAACACAAUAUCAAUCCAGCAAUCUUUAGACUACAAUAAUACUUUUAUCCAUGUGCUCAAGAAAGGGCCCCUUUUUCCAACUUAUACUAAAGAGCUAGCAUAUAGAUGUAAUUUAUAGAUAGAUCAGUUGCUAUAUUUUCUGGUGUAGGGUCUUUCUUAUUUAGUGAGAUCUAGGGAUACCACAGAAAUGGUUCAGUCUAUCACAGCUCCCAUGGAGUUAGUCUGGUCACCAGAUAUGGAUGAGAGAUUCUAUUCAGUGGAUCAGAAUCAAACUGGUACAUUGAUCCACUUGAGCCGUUAAGUGCUGCCAAUUGUACAAUAUGCCCAGGCUUGCAGAAUAAAGCCAACUUUUUAUUGUGAAUAAUAAUAAGGACAUAUUUUUCUUCAGAUUAUGUUUUAUUUCUUUGCAUUGAGUGAGGAACAUAAAAUGGCUUGGUAAAAGUAAUAAAAUCAGUACAAUC